This 70-nucleotide transfer RNA is filed under the name Candidiopotamon okinawense. RNAcentral's name for it is "tRNA-Gln". The record is from RNAcentral. Lineage: Eukaryota; Metazoa; Arthropoda; Malacostraca; Decapoda; Potamidae.
UAUAUUACUAGUGUUUAGAGCACAAAAAAUUUUGAUUUUUUAAGGAAUGGUUGAAAUCCAUUGUGUAUAA